This 469-nucleotide ribosomal RNA is filed under the name uncultured bacterium. RNAcentral describes it as "partial 16S ribosomal RNA". It matches the Rfam family "Bacterial small subunit ribosomal RNA", at positions 28 to 507 of the family's 1533-position model. The record is from RNAcentral.
GAUGAACGCUGGCGGCGUGCUUAACACAUGCAAGUCGAACGGAAAGGCCGAAGCUUGCUUCGGUACUCGAGUGGCGAACGGGUGAGUAACACGUGGGUGAUCUGCCCUGUACUUCGGGAUAAGCUUGGGAAACUGGGUCUAAUACCGGAUAUGACGAUCUCUUGGAUGGGGUUGUGGAAAGCUUUUGCGGUAUGGGAUGAGCUCGCGGCCUAUCAGCUUGUUGGUGGGGUAAUGGCCUACCAAGGCGUCGACGGGUAGCCGGCCUGAGAGGGUGUACGGCCCAUAUGGGACCGGAGCGCGGGCCCAGCCUCCGAGGGGGGGCAGUAGGGGGGAUUAUUGCCCAGUGGGGCCACGCUUAAUGCAGCGAGCCCGGGGGGGGGAUGCCGGCUUUGGGUUUGUAACCUCUUUCCGAAAUGGACAAAGCCUUUUGGUGCCGUUAGGUAGAGAAAAAGCCCCGGCUAACUACGUC